RNAcentral lists this ribosomal RNA (253 nucleotides) under uncultured bacterium. Its description in RNAcentral is "partial 16S ribosomal RNA". It matches the Rfam family "Bacterial small subunit ribosomal RNA", at positions 524 to 776 of the family's 1533-position model. The record is from RNAcentral.
UACAUGUGGGGCAAGCGUUGUUCGGAAUUACUGGGCAUAAAGGGUCCGUAGGCGGUUUUGUAAGUCAGUGGUGAAAGCCCAUCGCUCAACGGUGGAACGGCCAUUGAUACUGCAAAACUUGAAUUAUUGGGAAGUAACUAGAAUAUGUAGUGUAGCGGUGAAAUGCUUAGAUAUUACAUGGAAUACCAAUUGCGAAGGCAGGUUACUAUCAAUAUAUUGACGCUGAUGGACGAAAGCGUGGGGAGCGAACAGG